GUCUAUGGCCAUGCCACUCUGAACAAGCCCAAUCCCAUCUGAUCUCAGAAGCUAAACAGGGUCAGGCCUGGUUAGUACUUGAAUAGGAGACCACCUGGGAAGACCAGGUGCUGUAGGCA
This 119-nucleotide ribosomal RNA is filed under the name Pteropus alecto (black flying fox). The record is from RNAcentral. Lineage: Eukaryota; Metazoa; Chordata; Mammalia; Chiroptera; Pteropodidae. RNAcentral also lists the same sequence under 1 other name.